This 438-nucleotide ribosomal RNA is filed under the name Triticum aestivum (bread wheat). RNAcentral's name for it is "partial small subunit ribosomal RNA". Lineage: Eukaryota; Viridiplantae; Streptophyta; Magnoliopsida; Poales; Poaceae. The record is from RNAcentral.
AUGAUUGCCACUGUAACUCUGAACCCUUUAGUGGCUGACCGUCGUGUUGGACGUAUCGACAACAAGCCGAUCUCGGCAAGAUCAGCAUAUGCUUCUGUGUUUGCAGCUAGGCCGGAGGACAGGUACGCCACGGCUACUUGGAAGAACUAUGCUCCAAAUAGGUGUCGGUUGUUCACUUGGCUAGCCUUCCGGGACAGACUAUUUACAAAUGAUCGGCGUUUCCGGCAUGGGAUGUCAAGCUCCGAUACUUGCCCAUUUUGCGAUGAGCCAGAAACCACAAGUCACUUACUGUUGAACUGCCACUCCAUCAAGUUGCUUUGGGACAAUCUUCUUCUUCUUCGUCCUCCAGAAGUCGAACAUAUUCAAGAUAUUUGGUCUAACCCCUCAAUUGAUAAAGUUCGCUCUACAGUCAUCAUUGCCAUUCUUUGGUCUAUUUGA